UGUUUCUUUCCCUGUCCAUUGAUGUGAAAUAGUUAUACUUACAUGUGAACGUGACAAACAACAGUCCUUGGUCUGACACUGAGUUUGUGGGGAACAAUUACGAGAAACUCUUAUGAGCCAAGACAGGUGGUUAAAUAUUCAAGCAACCUGACCCUUGAGAUACCUCAAAGAAAAGCAAGCCCAGCAGCUAAAGAUAUCUCCAGGUUGCCAUGGUGCCAGCGGUGCCGGUACAGCCAGUGAGGAAGGCUUACUAAAUAAGGCAUUGGCAUGGCCAACAAGGAGCUAUGGAGGAAGCUGAUGGCCUGUCUGCCACUAUGAGAGGAAUGCACCAACCAGAGCACAUAUUGGGUUUCUGUUUUGGUGCUUUCUCCAGCACUGCUCCAUUCCCUCCUACGCUGUGUGCGUGUAUAUAUACUAGGACAAAAAAAGUUUUCCAGUUUCAUACCACUGCAUUGUACUUAAAUAAAAGUAAGCUACAUUCAAUGAUGUUACAGUUACACAAUUCAUUUUGUAUUGAAAAUCUCCUGUUAUUUAUUACUGACAACUGAUGCCUCAAUUACAUCCAGUGUUGGAUUUCACUUUGAAA
Molecule: long non-coding RNA, 586 nt
Organism: Gigantopelta aegis
Lineage: Eukaryota; Metazoa; Mollusca; Gastropoda; Neomphalida; Peltospiridae
Exons: 2
Source: RefSeq, a predicted model, not a curated record